AUACUGAGGGUGCAAGCGUUAAUCGGAAUUACUGGGCGUAAAGCGCGCGUAGGCGGUUUAUCAAGUCAGAUGUGAAAGCCCUGGGCUCAACCUGGGAACUGCAUUUGAAACUGAUAAACUAGAGUUUGGUAGAGGGUGACGGAAUUCCAGGUGUAGCGGUGAAAUGCGUAGAUAUCUGGAGGAACAUCAGUGGCGAAGGCGGUUGCCUGGACCAAAACUGACGCUGAGGUGCGAAAGCGUGGGGAGCAAACAGGAUUAGAAACCCCGGUAGUCC
RNAcentral lists this ribosomal RNA (274 nucleotides) under uncultured bacterium. RNAcentral describes it as "partial 16S ribosomal RNA". It matches the Rfam family "Bacterial small subunit ribosomal RNA", at positions 523 to 796 of the family's 1533-position model. The record is from RNAcentral.